GAUGAACGCUGGCGGCGUGCCUAAUACAUGCAAGUCGAGCGAACAGAUAAGGAGCUUGCUCCUUUGACGUUAGCGGCGGACGGGUGAGUAACACGUGGGUAACCUACCUAUAAGACUGGAAUAACUCCGGGAAACCGGGGCUAAUGCCGGAUAACAUUUAGAACCGCAUGGUUCUAAAGUGAAAGAUGGUUUUGCUAUCACUUAUAGAUGGACCCGCGCCGUAUUAGCUAGUUGGUAAGGUAACGGCUUACCAAGGCAACGAUACGUAGCCGACCUGGAAGGGUGAUCGGCCACACUGGAACUGAGACACGGUCCAGACUCCUACGGGAGGCAGCAGUAGGGAAUCUUCCGCAAAGGGCGAAAGCCUGACGGAGCAACGCCGAGUGAGUGAUGAAGAUCUUCGGAUCGUAAAACUCUGUUAUUGGGGAAGAACAAAUGUGGAAGUAACUGUGCACGUCGUGACGGUACCUAAUAAGAAAGCCACGGCUAACUACGUG
Molecule: ribosomal RNA, 497 nt
Filed under: uncultured bacterium
Lineage: Bacteria
Description: partial 16S ribosomal RNA
Rfam family: Bacterial small subunit ribosomal RNA
Source: RNAcentral